CGUUAAUCGGAAUCACUGGGCGUAAAGCGCGCGCAGGUGGUCCUUAAGUCUGAUGUGAAAGCCCACGGCUCAACCGUGAGGGUCAUUGGAAACUGGGGAACUUGAGUGCAGAAGAGGAAAGUGGAAUUCCAAGUGUAGCGGUGAAAUGCGUAGAGAUUUGGAGGAACACCAGUGGCGAAGGCGACUUUCUGGUCUGUAACUGACACUGAGGCGCGAAAGCGUGGGGAGC
Molecule: ribosomal RNA, 229 nt
Filed under: uncultured bacterium
Lineage: Bacteria
Description: partial 16S ribosomal RNA
Rfam family: Bacterial small subunit ribosomal RNA
Source: RNAcentral